Molecule: ribosomal RNA, 465 nt
Filed under: Vreelandella stevensii
Lineage: Bacteria; Pseudomonadati; Pseudomonadota; Gammaproteobacteria; Oceanospirillales; Halomonadaceae
Description: partial 16S ribosomal RNA
Rfam family: Bacterial small subunit ribosomal RNA
Source: RNAcentral
CCUACGGCGUGCUGCAGUGGGGAAUAUUGGACAAUGGGCGAAAGCCUGAUCCAGCCAUGCCGCGUGUGUGAAGAAGGCCUUCGGGUUGUAAAGCACUUUCAGUGGGGAAGAAAGCCUUGGGGCUAAUACCCUCGAGGAAGGACAUCACCCACAGAAGAAGCACCGGCUAACUCCGUGCCAGCAGCCGCGGUAAUACGGAGGGUGCGAGCGUUAAUCGGAAUUACUGGGCGUAAAGCGCGCGUAGGCGGUCUGAUAAGCCGGUUGUGAAAGCCCCGGGCUCAACCUGGGAACGGCAUCCGGAACUGUCAGGCUAGAGUGCAGGAGAGGAAGGUAGAAUUCCCGGUGUAGCGGUGAAAUGCGUAGAGAUCGGGAGGAAUACCAGUGGCGAAGGCGGCCUUCUGGACUGACACUGACGCUGAGGUGCGAAAGCGUGGGUAGCAAACAGGAUUAGAUACCCCGGUAGUC